This is a regulatory RNA element of 103 nucleotides. It matches the Rfam family "Pyrrolysine insertion sequence mttB". The record is from Rfam.
UAGGCAGAUGCCAAAGUGGUGGAUGCGCAAGGAGCUCACGAAAAAACAAUGACACUCCUGCUUCCAGCACUAGAAGCUAAAGGAAACAGAAUAUACGGAUUCG